RNAcentral lists this unclassified non-coding RNA (377 nucleotides) under uncultured Candida. RNAcentral's name for it is "sequence contains ITS2". The stretch from base 1 to 154 matches the Rfam family "5.8S ribosomal RNA". Lineage: Eukaryota; Fungi; Ascomycota; Saccharomycetes; Saccharomycetales. The record is from RNAcentral.
AACUUUUAGCAAUGGAUCUCUUGGUUCUCGCAUCGAUGAAGAACGCAGCAAAACGCGAUAUGUAGUGUGAAUUGCAGAAUUUUGUGAAUCAUCGAAUUUUUGAACGCACAUUGCGCCCUUUGGUAUUCCGAAGGGCAUACCUGUUUGAGCGUCAUUUCUUUCUCAUAAACAAUGGUUUUGUGUGUUGUUUUUUAGUCAAGUGAAAAACAUCACAUUAAAUGAAAUGGCAUGUUGGUUGAAAUUGUCAAGCGUUUAGGUUUACCAAUUUCGUGGAAGCAUUUCAACAUACGACGGGCCUGUAUAACCAGACCAAAAAAUUUGACCUCAAAUCAGGCAGGAAUACCCGCUGAACUUAAGCAUAUCAAUAAGCGGAGGCU